AUGCAAGUCGAACGGUAACAGGUUUUGCUUGCACAUCGCUGACGAGUGGCGGACGGGUGAGUAAUGCUUGGGAACUUGCCUUUGCGAGGGGGAUAACAGUUGGAAACGACUGCUAAUACCGCAUAAUGUCUUCGGACCAAACGGGGCUUAGGCUCCGGCGCAAAGAGAGGCCCAAGUGAGAUUAGCUAGUUGGUAAGGUAACGGCUUACCAAGGCGACGAUCUCUAGCUGUUCUGAGAGGAAGAUCAGCCACACUGGGACUGAGACACGGCCCAGACUCCUACGGGAGGCAGCAGUGGGGAAUAUUGCACAAUGGGGGAAACCCUGAUGCAGCCAUGCCGCGUGUGUGAAGAAGGCCUUCGGGUUGUAAAGCACUUUCAGUUGUGAGGAAAAGUUAGUAGUUAAUACCUGCUAGCCGUGACGUUAACAACAGAAGAAGCACCGGCUAACUCCGUGCCAGCAGCCGCGGUAAUACGGAGGGUGCGAGCGUUAAUCGGAAUUACUGGGCGUAAAGCGCACGCAGGCGGUUUGUUAAGCUAGAUGUGAAAGCCCCGGGCUCAACCUGGGAUGGUCAUUUAGAACUGGCAGACUAGAGUCUUGGAGAGGGGAGUGGAAUUCCAGGUGUAGCGGUGAAAUGCGUAGAUAUCUGGAGGAACAUCAGUGGCGAAGGCGACUCCCUGGGCAAAGACUGACGCUCAUGUGCGAAAGUGUGGGUAGCGAACAGGAUUAGAUACCUGGGUAGUCCACACCGUAAACGCUGUCUACUAGCUGUGUGUGCUUUAA
RNAcentral lists this ribosomal RNA (782 nucleotides) under Alteromonas sp. Its description in RNAcentral is "bacterial SSU rRNA". It matches the Rfam family "Bacterial small subunit ribosomal RNA", at positions 55 to 834 of the family's 1533-position model. The record is from RNAcentral. Lineage: Bacteria; Pseudomonadati; Pseudomonadota; Gammaproteobacteria; Alteromonadales; Alteromonadaceae.